AAGAAGUCAGCAGACAAUCGAAUGGCAGGAGGGGGCUUUAAUUCAGUCACGGUUUGUCCCCCCGACCUUGUUCUCCCCCAUAUCAUACACUUCCUACGAACACACCUCCAGACGCUGAUGUCAGUGCGAGUGAAGAAGGGCCGGCAGGAUCCAGAGUAAUCCCAUGCUGAUCAGGAACAAGCAGCUGUGCUCCACGUGUCGAGAAAUAAAAAUGGUACAACCAAGAACUAUGACAAUCCCUCAUAAUCUGAAACUAUCCUUUGAGAACUUUAUGAGUCACAGAAUGAUGAGUCUUCAUCCACCAAAAGCCCCAGCUGUAUCCAAAUGUUCCCGUAAUGACAUCUCAAGAGGUUGGUGUUCUGUUAGAGUACUUGUAGUGGGGGGACAUACUACCCCCAGAGUAGUAGGAUGAAAAGUUUAAUCCCUAAGAUAGUUGCUAAAUUUUCUGAACAAGUUCCCUCUGUCGGCCCCUUUCUCUUUUCACGUUCUGCUUCUGGCCUGUUUUGCUUGCUCCCUAGCCCUCCCUUCAGGCCAGCCCCACCUGUCCCCUCUCCGGGCCUCACUGAACUACAUCUGUGCCACGUUCCUUCUCAGAUCUUCUCCAUGCCACACGA
Molecule: long non-coding RNA, 614 nt
Organism: Ailuropoda melanoleuca (giant panda)
Lineage: Eukaryota; Metazoa; Chordata; Mammalia; Carnivora; Ursidae
Exons: 4
Source: RefSeq, a predicted model, not a curated record